Molecule: long non-coding RNA, 1055 nt
Filed under: Salmo salar (Atlantic salmon)
Lineage: Eukaryota; Metazoa; Chordata; Actinopteri; Salmoniformes; Salmonidae
Description: lncRNA (ENSSSAG00000100015.1)
Source: RNAcentral
CUGAGGUAGGUGAGCUAGCUGUGUCUAAGCUAGUUGAGCUAGGUGUGUCUGAGUUAGGUAUGUCUGAGCUAGGUGAGCUAGGUGUGUCUGAGCUAGGUGAGCUAGGUGAGCUAGGUGUGUCUGAGCUAGGUGAGCUAGCUGUGUCUAAGCUAGGUGUGUCUGAGGUAGGUGAGCUAGCUGUGUCUAAGCUAGUUGAGCUAGGUGUGUCUGAGUUAGGUAUGUCUGAGCUAGGUGAGCUAGGUGUGUCUGAGCUAGGUGAGCUAGGUGUGUCUGAGCUAGGUGAGCUAGGUGUGUCUGAGGUAGGUGAGCUAGCUGUGUCUAAGCUAGGUGAGCUAGGUGUGUCUGAGUUAGGUAUGUCUGAGCUAGGUGAGCUAGGUGUGUCUGAGCUAGGUGAGCUAGGUGUGUCUUAGCUAGGUGAGCUAGGUGUGUCUGUGUUACGUGAGCUAGGUGUGUCUGAGCUAGGUGAGCUAGGUGAGCUAGGUGUGUCUUAGCUAGGUGAGCUAGGUGUGUCUUAGCUAGGUGAGCUAGGUGUGUCUUAGCAAGGUGAGCUAGGUGUGUCUAAGCUAGGUGAGCUAGGGGUGUCUGAGUUAUGUGAGCUAGGUGUUUCAGUGCUGAGUGUUUUCUGAGCUAGUUAUGUCUGACUGUCAUUGAAAAUAAGAAUUUGUUUUUAACUGACUAGCCUAGUUAAAUAAAGGUAAAAUCAAAUAAAAAAUAAAAGUGAGCUAAGUGUGUCUGAGUUUGUUUUUUCUGAGCUGAUUGAACUAGGUGUGUCUUAGACAGGUGUGUCUUAGACAGGUGUGUCUGAGCUAUAAGAGCUAGGUGUGUCUGAGCUAGGUGAGCUAGGUGUGUCUGAUAUAUUUUUCAUUGUUCUGGGUCUUAUUAGGCUAUGUCAUUUUAGUAUAGAAUUGGUAUUUUAUUAAGCUCAUGCAAUGUAUAUAUUGCUGCUUGACUCUGUUGGGGCUAGGGGGCAGUAUUUGUACGGCCGGAUAAAAAAACGUACCCGAUUUAAACUGGUUACUACUCUUGCCCAGAAAUGAGAAUAUGCAUAUAAUUAA